Molecule: ribosomal RNA, 652 nt
Filed under: Dilocarcinus laevifrons
Lineage: Eukaryota; Metazoa; Arthropoda; Malacostraca; Decapoda; Trichodactylidae
Description: SSU rRNA
Rfam family: Eukaryotic small subunit ribosomal RNA
Source: RNAcentral
CCUGUACAACAGCCCGCUGGCUCGCACGGGGUGCUCUUCAUCGAGUGUCUCGGGUGGCCGGCAGAGUUUACUUUGAAAAAAUUAGAGUGCUCAAAGCAGGCUACACUGACGGCCUGAAUGCCUAUGCAUGGAAUAAUGGAAUAGGACCUCGGUUCUAUUUUGUCGGUUUUCUGAACCCGAGGUAAUGACUAAUAGGAACAGGCGGGGGCAUUCGUAUUGCGACGCUAGAGGUGAAAUUCUUGGACCGUCGCAAGACGAACUACUGCGAAAGCAUUUGCCAAGGAUGUUUUCAUUAAUCAAGAACGAAAGUUAGAGGUUCGAAGGCGAUCAGAUACCGCCCUAGUUCUAACCAUAAACGAUGCUGACCAGCGAUCCGCCGGCGUUAUUCCCAUGACCCGGCGGGCAGCUUCCGGGAAACCAAAGUCUUUGGGUUCCGGGGGAAGUAUGGUUGCAAAGCUGAAACUUAAAGGAAUUGACGGAAGGGCACCACCAGGAGUGGAGCCUGCGGCUUAAUUUGACUCAACACGGGGAACCUCACCAGGCCCAGACACCGGAAGGAUUGACAGAUUGAGAGCUCUUUCUCGAUUCGGUGGGUGGUGGUGCAUGGCCGUUCUUAGUUGGUGGAGCGAUUUGUCUGGUUAAUUCCGAUAAC